AGAAGAGAAACAAACAAAAUCACAUACAAGUGGUCUGAAAAACCCCAAAUUCUAGGGUUUCCGCCAUUGAUCAGGUGUAAAGACGAAAGCAGACAAAUCAGGCCAAAGUAACAAUGAAACGAGCCCAAAAGACCCAAAGGAACUAAAAACUUAAACAUUUCAGGAAAACAUAAUAAGGGAACAAAAUAUUGUAAAAGAACUCACAGAGUGAUGGUAGAAGAUAGCAUAGUAGAAGAAAACACAUAGAAAUCACAGUACAAACACAUAAGAGUCACA
This 276-nucleotide long non-coding RNA is filed under the name Nicotiana benthamiana. RNAcentral describes it as "long non-coding RNA (NBEN_LNC040514)". Lineage: Eukaryota; Viridiplantae; Streptophyta; Magnoliopsida; Solanales; Solanaceae. The record is from RNAcentral.